RNAcentral lists this ribosomal RNA (351 nucleotides) under uncultured bacterium. Its description in RNAcentral is "bacterial SSU rRNA". It matches the Rfam family "Bacterial small subunit ribosomal RNA", at positions 917 to 1269 of the family's 1533-position model. The record is from RNAcentral.
GGGCCCGCACAAGCGGUGGAGUAUGUGGUUUAAUUCGAUGCAACGCGAAGAACCUUACCAGGGUUUGACAUCCUGCGAAUGCUUUGUAAUGAAGCAGUGCCUUCGGGAGCCAGGAUACAGGUGCUGCAUGGCUGUCGUCAGCUCGUGUCGUGAGAUGUUCCGUUAAGUCGGAUAACGAGCGCAACCCUUACCCUUAUUUGCCAGCGAUUCGGUCGGGAACUAUAAGGGGACUGCCGGUGAUAAACCGGAGGAAGGUGAGGACGACGUCAAGUCAUCAUGGCCCUUACGAGUAGGGCUACACACGUGCUACAAUGGGGAAUACAGACGGACGCUAAGCCGCGAGGUGGUGCU